GAUGAACGCUGGCGGCGUGCCUAAUACAUGCAAGUCGAGCGAACAGAUGAGGAGCUUGCUCCUCUGACGUUAGCGGCGGACGGGUGAGUAACACGUGGAUAACCUACCUAUAAGACUGGGAUAACUUCGGGAAACGGGAGCUAAUACCGGAUAAUAUAUUGAAGCGCAUGGUUCAAUAGUGAAAGACGGUUUUGCUGUCACUUAUAGAUGGAUCCGCGCCGCAUUAGCUAGUUGGUAAGGUAACGGCUUACCAAGGCAACGAUGCGUAGCCGAGCUGAGAGGGGGAUCGGCCACACUGGAGCUGAGACGCGGUCCAGACGCCUACGGGAGGGAGCAGUAGGGAAUGUUCCGCAAUGGGCGAAAGCCUGACGGAGCAACGCCGCGUGAGUGAUGAAGGUCUUCGGAUCGUAAAACUCUGUUAUUAGGGAAGAACAAAUGUGUAAGUAACCAUGCACGUCUUGACGGUACCUAAUCAGAAAGCCACGGCUAACUACGUG
Molecule: ribosomal RNA, 497 nt
Filed under: uncultured bacterium
Lineage: Bacteria
Description: partial 16S ribosomal RNA
Rfam family: Bacterial small subunit ribosomal RNA
Source: RNAcentral